UCAGCAGCUGAAUGUUCAGCCUGUCUCAAUGUUGGGUUGUAAGUUGGACUCUCAAACACUUCUCCAUUGAAGUUCACUGAAGCCUUGAACCUUGGUGCAUGAUCAGGACCUUCUCUUAUACAUACAUAUGAUGGAAGAUUGAAGCAGCUUCUCUGUGCUAGUUCCUGUAACUGGUUCUUGAACAUAUCUGGAUUCUUAUAUUAUUGUUAUAUAACCUGCCAUUCCAGGAAAAAGCAAAAACAAAGGAAUUCAAGGGAUGAGAAAGUCGUCUUCAUUUCCAUUGAUUGGAUGCAUAGAGAGAAAGGAUUGAAACUUGGUUUCACCUACUUGAGCUGAUGAAGAAAGAAACUCUCUUUUGGUUUACAGAAAGGAGCAGUGUUGUAAGUGUUGCUUUCUCAACAUGGGAAUUGAAAGGAACAAAGGGGGGGAGAAAGAGAAUGAAAUGGGGAGCAGUGAAAAAGGUCAAAUUGAAGAUUUUUUAAGAGCAAAGUUUGAAACUUUGUUUUAUUUUAUUCUUCUUCUUGUUUUUUUCUCCCUCAUUAUCAUUGAUUUUUAAGUAUUGACCCAUCAGAAAACAG
This 578-nucleotide long non-coding RNA is filed under the name Linum usitatissimum (flax). Its description in RNAcentral is "long non-coding RNA (LUSI_LNC006183)". The record is from RNAcentral. Lineage: Eukaryota; Viridiplantae; Streptophyta; Magnoliopsida; Malpighiales; Linaceae.